RNAcentral lists this ribosomal RNA (475 nucleotides) under uncultured organism. RNAcentral describes it as "partial 16S ribosomal RNA". It matches the Rfam family "Bacterial small subunit ribosomal RNA", at positions 333 to 799 of the family's 1533-position model. The record is from RNAcentral.
ACACUCCUGCGGGAGGCAGCAGUGGGGAAUUUUGGACAAUGGGCGAAAGCCUGAUCCAGCAAUGCCGCGUGAGUGAAGAAGGCCUUCGGGUUGUAAAGCUCUUUUGUCAGGGAAGAAACGGUGAGAGCUAAUAUCUCUUGCUAAUGACGGUACCUGAAGAAUAAGCACCGGCUAACUACGUGCCAGCAGCCGCGGUAAUACGUAGGGUGCAAGCGUUAAUCGGAAUUACUGGGCGUAAAGCGUGCGCCGGCGGUUUUGUAAGUCUGAUGUGAAAUCCCCGGGCUCAACCUGGGAAUUGCAUUGGAGACUGCAAGGCUAGAAUCUGGCAGAGGGGGGUAGAAUUCCACGUGUAGCAGUGAAAUGCGUAGAUAUGUGGAGGAACACCGAUGGCGAAGGCAGCCCCCUGGGUCAAGAUUGACGCUCAUGCACGAAAGCGUGGGGAGCAAACAGGAUUAGAAACCCCUGUAGUCCCAUG